GCGAGGAACCCCCGAGUCCUGCCGCGUUAAUGCAACCUAACCUGCCUCCGCGCCGAUUGGCCUAACUUGACAAUCGUGAGUUUUGAUUGGCUGGGGCCAGCAGGUUAGGCUGACUGGGAUCAGGUGAUGAGUCACCUGAUUAUACCGCUUCACGUGACGGAGGGAGGUCGGGAGGAACCAAGUAGCUGGGAUUCCAUUCCUCAGGGGGACACGCCCCACGGAGAUGGACCACUCCCUGCAAGGGAGGAGGCGGUGCCGGAUCGGGGUCAGAUGCGGGAUGCCCUCACGACUGCGAUGGGUGCAGAAAAAACCCGGAGCCUGGCCGAGCGGACCCGUGGGGCAGGGAAACCUAAAAGCGGAGCCCGAGACUCGCUUUCCGCUGCUAGGACUUCUGACUCAUUCAGUGCACCAGGAAUCAAACAGAACUGUGUAGUGAAUGUGGUUUUGUCUACAAGAACCCUGCCUCCUUUGUUGUAGAGACUGGAUGUUGUGUAGCAAAUAAAGCAGAGAAUUAUAGGGA
Molecule: long non-coding RNA, 520 nt
Organism: Chrysemys picta bellii (western painted turtle)
Lineage: Eukaryota; Metazoa; Chordata; Testudines; Emydidae
Source: RefSeq, a predicted model, not a curated record